Molecule: long non-coding RNA, 570 nt
Organism: Lingula anatina
Lineage: Eukaryota; Metazoa; Brachiopoda; Lingulata; Lingulida; Lingulidae
Source: RefSeq, a predicted model, not a curated record
GUGAUUGCCAGGCCCUUGUAAACAGUGUGGAGGAGGUGAUAGCUCGACCUCGUCAAGAAUACUGUGAUCAUAGCUCCUCACCGCGAUGCCUAAGCAAGAAAGGGAUCGAGGGAAUGCAACAGAUGGUGAACAGAGUCAGUGGGUUUUGAUUGCUCCAGAAGCAAUAUUCAGUUGUGAAACACCAAAAUCUCCUAAUGUUUCCUUCUGCAAACUAAGACACCCAAAAACAGAGGAGGGAGCCAUAUUUCUCUUCAGCUCUGACAACAGACAGGUGUUUGAAGUGCUACAGCAUAAGAGAGAAUUUGGAUCAUGGAUUAUAGAACAAACUAUUCAAAAAGGUAGAACAAAGUAUUCAUUUGAAUUAUUUCUGAAUGAUUGUUUUACGCAUAUAGUAAUGUUUUUUUCUUUUCUUUUUUUUAUUUUUUUUUUAAUUUCAAGAAAUUUGACAGCUACUUUUAUUUUAAUUUAAUUUCCUGAAAUUAAAUUUAAUGGUAAUUAAACAGCAAGACUCUGUAGCACUUGAACACUUUGAAAUAAUAAUGGCUUGAAAUUUUAUAGUUAUGUUAUGGA